CUUGUGCUACAGGCCUUGUCAGCAAAGACAGAAACAGAAAACAUUGCACGAUAGAGCAAUGACCAGAGCAACAACAUCACAUUAACCAGGGUCUGUAGAAAGUGCAAAGACAAACUUCCCAAACAAACUGCAGGAUGCAAGACACCAUCAAGUUCCCUUUCAGCCCAGGAAUGAGAAAUCCCAAGAUAUUUACUCCCAGACCUCCCUUCUUCAGGUUCCUGGCUGCCACUUGAAUCUUUAUGAAGAAGGUGAAAACUACAGUCUCCAUUGACGUACAGUUGUGUUCCAUUGGAUGUCUUUUAACUGCAUCAGGACCCAUGGCCAUAACUGCACUUACAUUAAUUUUGCAACAAAAGAUCUUUCUGAAAUCAAUUUACCAUGUGAAUCUUCAGUGAGUGUGGUAACUGUACCUGCAAAUAAAGAGUUUGAGUUCGUAAAGCUA
Long non-coding RNA from Cyanistes caeruleus (blue tit), 442 nucleotides. RefSeq lists it as uncharacterized. The record is from RefSeq and is a predicted model, not a curated record. Lineage: Eukaryota; Metazoa; Chordata; Aves; Passeriformes; Paridae.